AGAGAUAGAGCCUUCCCCUUCGGGGGACAAAGUGACAGGUGGUGCAUGGUUGUCGUCAGCUCGUGUCGUGAGAUGUUGGGUUAAGUCCCGCAACGAGCGCAACCCUUAAGCUUAGUUGCCAUCAUUAAGUUGGGCACUCUAGGUUGACUGCCGGUGACAAACCGGAGGAAGGUGGGGAUGACGUCAAAUCAUCAUGCCCCUUAUGAUUUGGGCUACACACGUGCUACAAUGGACAAUACAAAGGGCAGCUAAACCGCGAGGUCAUGCAAAUCCCAUAAAGUUGUUCUCAGUUCGGAUUGUAGUCUGCAACUCGACUACAUGAAGCUGGAAUCGCUAGUAAUCGUAGAUCAGCAUGCUACGGUGAAUACGUUCCCGGGUCUUGUACACACCGCCCGUCACACCACGAGAGUUUGUAACACCCGAAGCCGGUGGAGUAACCAUUUAUGGAGCUGGCCGUCGAAGGUGGGACAAAUGAUUGGGGUGAAGUCGUAACAAGGUAGCCGUAUCGGAAGGUGC
Molecule: ribosomal RNA, 516 nt
Filed under: uncultured bacterium
Lineage: Bacteria
Description: bacterial SSU rRNA
Rfam family: Bacterial small subunit ribosomal RNA
Source: RNAcentral